UACGGAGGGGGUUAGCGUUGUUCGGAAUACUGGGCGUAAAGCGCGCGUAGGCGGACUAUUAAGUCAGAGGUGAAAAUCCCGGGGCUCAACCCCGGAACUGCCUUUGAUACUGGUGUCUGAGUUCGAGAGAGGUAAGUGGAAUUCCGAGUGUAGAGGUGAAAUUCGUAGAUAUUCGGAGAACACCAGUGGCGAAGGCGGCUUACUGGCUCGAUACUGACGCUGAGGUGCGAAAGUGUGGGGAGCAAAACAGGAUUAGAUACCCGGGUAGUCC
RNAcentral lists this ribosomal RNA (271 nucleotides) under uncultured bacterium. RNAcentral describes it as "partial 16S ribosomal RNA". It matches the Rfam family "Bacterial small subunit ribosomal RNA", at positions 524 to 796 of the family's 1533-position model. The record is from RNAcentral.